RNAcentral lists this ribosomal RNA (204 nucleotides) under Morganella morganii subsp. morganii. RNAcentral's name for it is "partial 16S ribosomal RNA". It matches the Rfam family "Bacterial small subunit ribosomal RNA", at positions 1 to 200 of the family's 1533-position model. Lineage: Bacteria; Pseudomonadati; Pseudomonadota; Gammaproteobacteria; Enterobacterales; Morganellaceae. The record is from RNAcentral.
UAAUUGAAGAGUUUGAUCAUGGCUCAGAUUGAACGCUGGCGGCAGGCCUAACACAUGCAAGUCGGGCGGUAACAGGGAGAAGCUUGCUUCUCCGCUGACGAGCGGCGGACGGGUGAGUAAUGUAUGGGGAUCUGCCUGAUGGCGGGGGAUAACUACUGGAAACGGUAGCUAAUACCGCAUAAUGUCUUCGGACCAAAGCGGGGG